This 425-nucleotide long non-coding RNA is filed under the name Coturnix japonica (Japanese quail). RNAcentral describes it as "lncRNA (ENSCJPG00005002955.1)". Lineage: Eukaryota; Metazoa; Chordata; Aves; Galliformes; Phasianidae. The record is from RNAcentral.
GUGCAAUUUUGGGUCAAUUUUUACCAUUUUUGGGUCAAUUUUGGCCCAUUUUGGGUCAUUUUUGACCCUUUAAUUUUUGGGUUAAAAUCGUCCAUUUUUGGGUCAUUUUGGGUCAAAAUUGACAUUUUUAGCAACGAUUGAAUCAAUUUGUUCAUUUUUGGGUCAAUUUCUGCCAUUUUUGGGUCAAUUUCUGCCAUUUUUGGGUCAAUUUUGGCCCAUUUUGGGUCAUUUUUGACCCUUUAAUUUUUGGGUUAAAAUCGCUCAAUUUUGUGUCAUUUUGGGUCAAAAUUGACAUUUUUAACAUCUACAUUAAAUAUUUGUUCAUUUUUGGGUCAAUUUCUGCCAUUUUUGGGUCAAUUUCUGCCAUUUUUGGGUCAAUUUUGGCCCAUUUUGGGUCAUUUUGGACCCUUGAAUUUUUGGGUUAA